GAUCAUUACCGAUCAUUGUCCAAGCCAAUCACUUGGUCACACCGAGAACUUGUUUGAAGGUUUGGGGGUAGUUCUGUGGUUUAAGAGAACUUGAAAUGUCGAGUUACGCUCGCAGCCUCCAACAUUUUUUUUGUACAAACACAACACUGUCACUUGCAGAGAAAAACUAUACUAUAAAAAGUAAAAAACUUUUAACGGUGGAUCUCUUGGCUCGUGCAUCGAUGAAGAACGCAGCCAGGUGCGAUAAGUAGUGUGAAUUGCAGAAUUCAGUGAAUCAUCGAAUCUUUGAACGCAAAUGGCGCUCCUGGGUCUUCCCAGGAGCAUGUCUGUCUGAGUGUCGGUUUCAAAAACAAAACGCGUCCGUGCUGCUCUAGGGUGUCACGUGCGCGGCGUUGAGGUGUCACGGCCUAGACCCAGGUCAUGGCCGUGUCCCUUGAAGGAUAGCGGGAACCCAAUAGCUCGUCUUUCGACGCGACUUUGGGGUGGCCAAAGAAUUUCUUAACCAUCUCCGGAUCGUGUUCGAUGUCGUUGCGACAGGACCCCCACUCGAGCGUUUGCGCUCCAUCCUUGACCUCAGAUCAGGCAAGACUACCCGCUGAAUUUAAGCAUAUCAAUAAGCGGAGGAAAAGAAACUAACAAGGAUUCC
RNAcentral lists this ribosomal RNA (646 nucleotides) under Metridium senile (brown sea anemone). RNAcentral's name for it is "eukaryotic LSU rRNA". The stretch from base 187 to 340 matches the Rfam family "5.8S ribosomal RNA". The record is from RNAcentral. Lineage: Eukaryota; Metazoa; Cnidaria; Anthozoa; Actiniaria; Metridiidae.